Molecule: unclassified non-coding RNA, 1545 nt
Filed under: Hevea brasiliensis (rubber tree)
Lineage: Eukaryota; Viridiplantae; Streptophyta; Magnoliopsida; Malpighiales; Euphorbiaceae
Source: RNAcentral
GUUAAAUCAGUUUCUAAAAAUUCACCCAUAGCAUUCCCAAUUGUUUUAGUGUUGUCUGUAAUGAGCUGAUUAGGCGAUAACCUAUAUGCUUAAACCCAAAAGGGUGAAUAAGUGAAUUGGAUUUCUUCAAACCCCUAAUCUAGAGGCCACUCCUGUAUAGCAAGGUGUUGAUUCUGAAUAUUCCAUGGCCAAUUCUCCAGUACAAAUUUGACAUGUACUUCAUGUUGAAAAGUUAAGAGAAAAGUACUAAGUUUUUUGGGUGUAAUCUAGAACUGAUGUCUGGUUCUCAAAGCAGCUUCAAGAGCAACUUUCAUAGCAAAUAAGCUAAGCCUUUUGGAUGAUAUCUCCUUCCCCACUAACACAAGUUAUUGUUGCUUGGUUGUUUGAGUAUUGUCUGAUGAUAGUUUUAAAAUUAUCCUCUGAAAGGAGAUUUUGGGCCUUUGAAAUUAAUUCCAUAAUGUGGUUAUCACUCGUGGCACAGAUGAUGAAGUUAAAAGCAGAGGAGAUGGUCAGUUGUUGGGUUGUAAUAAGUAACAGGUAGAGGAAUAAAUACAAGAAAGAAUAAGACAGUAAUGGUGAAGUGACUAUAGGAACGUUUUCAGAGGCGUUUUUGCUGGUUAGUAGGAGUAAUGGUGAAGUUGGUAUACUGGAUGAUGUAUUGAGGAUUGUCAUAAGGCAUAAGAUUAGCGAAAGUCUAGGAAUGAAACUAAGAUCAAAUGGAUAAGCUGUGUUGAGCUAAUUAGUGAAUUCUGUUUGAGGAACCUUAUUCCAAAGAGUAGGGAUGAACCCUUAGAUUUUGUUAACUGACUGAUGGCAUACUGACAAUGACAAGGCAUUUCUCUCUCUUUUAAUUCUUCUUCUACUUUCUAUGUUUAGGGUGGUUUUCAUUUACUAUUGAGUGGCUUUCCCUGUUCCUAUUGGGCAAGGGAAGCUCCUCUCUCUGCCUAUAAUUAGAAUUUUACUCUCCCCACUCUAUGUGGAUGUAAAUAUUCCCUUUUGUAUUUUGUUCGACAACUUGGGCUUCAACGAGAGAGUAUUUAUUUAGUUGGUCUGCCGUUUCUACCUAGUUUUUAGUGUUUCUGUGUUAUGGGCUCCUCACAUGCAAGUGCCAAUAUUCUCUUGGGCUGAGAUCACAGGUGGUGUUGUAGUGGAUGAAAUUUGAGUCCUACUCUAUUCUUGCAACCAACUGCUUCCUAUUGCUCUAUAAAGGAUUACCGUUUUAGCUGAUGGUAUCUCUUGGGGUUAAGGUAUUUUUUACUAUAAGAGCCCUGCCAUUAGCCCUCGACUAAGCAUUAGUUCUAGUCUGUGAAGGUUUUCAGCUCCAAUGGUCUGUGUUUUACACUAGUCUAUUAUGGUUACUUAAUUUUUCAGUUCGAUGAACAUUAACUCAAUUUAAAGAGCCUUCAAGCCCUAAGAGGUGGUCUUUGCUAGCAUUAUCUCCAUCUGGAAUGAGUCCUUUACCAAGUUCUGAUGUGUGGCAUUGCUACUUUCUUCAUUAACAGGGUCCUUAGUCUUCUAAUCGGGUCAUUAGACCUAAGAGUUUUG